RNAcentral lists this unclassified non-coding RNA (305 nucleotides) under uncultured Sebacinales. RNAcentral's name for it is "sequence contains ITS2". Lineage: Eukaryota; Fungi; Basidiomycota; Agaricomycetes; Sebacinales. The record is from RNAcentral.
AACGCACCUUGCACCCUUUGGUAUUCCGAAGGGUACACCCGUUUGAGUGUCAUUGUAAUCUCACUACGAUCGACUUUGGUCUUUCUGUAUGUGGACUUGGAUGCUGCCGUGGUCAAUCGACGGCUCGUCUGAAAUGCUUCAGUGUACCCCGCUUUGCGGCGUAUUCGGUGUGAUACAUCUUCACCGGAGUUGAUCCUUUUGGGUCGCGUCUGUAAUGGUGUGGCUCUAUGCUUCCAACCGUCCACCGGGUGGACAAUCUCUGACAAUUUGACCUCAAAUCGGGUGGGACUACCCGCUGAACUUAA